This 675-nucleotide long non-coding RNA is filed under the name Homo sapiens (human). Its description in RNAcentral is "HSALNT0300882". Lineage: Eukaryota; Metazoa; Chordata; Mammalia; Primates; Hominidae. The record is from RNAcentral.
AUUCAGGGUUGACCAACAUAUCUCAUGUUCAUGUCAAUCAGGAAACAAUUUCUGAUUGUCAGAGCAUUGCGGAAUUCAAAGGGUAUACCUGACCCAAUUUCUGACCUCAGGGGAAGAAUAGACAAUGCUCGCAGAAGAGAAGAUGUACAACGUGGGCAGGAAAGGGGAAAUUUCUGGGAUUGGAGUUUGACUCCAGAAGUUGGGGAUUUCAGUAAGGUGGGUCAAAAGGCUGCAGUCAAGAAGAAGCAGUUACCCGAGUUGUUCCAACUUCCUGCUGGCCUUUGUGAAUGAACUGAGGUGGGUUCCUUGUCAUGGGGCUAUCCUAGGAGAGGAAGUGGAUUUACCAGCAAAGUGCAGUGAUUCCUGAGAAACUCUUACUGAAGCUCCAGGGCCACAUGGGUGCCCAGGCCAUAGCUCCCACCAGGCCUCUGUCAAGACCAAGUCCAGACAAAACUUGCUGUUGAGAAGGGGACCCUCACUCUGCACCAGGUUUUAUUCUCUUUAGCUCAGGACUCAGCAGAUCCAAGCUGUAGAUUGGAGAUAUAAACAGACAAGGUUGAGAAAGGCAAGAGGCAAGGCAACCCAGGUGCCCUAUGCGACUGACUUGCCAGGGAGAGCAGAUCCCGGGUCUCAUUUCUUUCUCCUUCCCCAGCAUCCACAAAGCCCUGCAUGUUG